RNAcentral lists this ribosomal RNA (574 nucleotides) under uncultured bacterium. Its description in RNAcentral is "bacterial SSU rRNA". It matches the Rfam family "Bacterial small subunit ribosomal RNA", at positions 337 to 903 of the family's 1533-position model. The record is from RNAcentral.
UCCUACGGGAGGCAGCAGUAGGGAAUCUUCCGCAAUGGACGAAAGUCUGACGGAGCAACGCCGCGUGAGUGAUGAAGGCUUUCGGGUCGUAAAACUCUGUUGUUAGGGAAGAAUAAGUGCUAGUUGAAUAAGCUGGCACCUUGACGGUACCUAACCAGAAAGCCACGGCUAACUACGUGCCAGCAGCCGCGGUAAUACGUAGGUGGCAAGCGUUAUCCGGAAUUAUUGGGCGUAAAGCGCGCGCAGGUGGUUUCUUAAGUCUGAUGUGAAAGCCCACGGCUCAACCGUGGAGGGUCAUUGGAAACUGGGAGACUUGAGUGCAGAAGAGGAAAGUGGAAUUCCAUGUGUAGCGGUGAAAUGCGUAGAGAUAUGGAGGAACACCAGUGGCGAAGGCGACUUUCUGGUCUGUAACUGACACUGAGGCGCGAAAGCGUGGGGAGCAAACAGGAUUAGAUACCCUGGUAGUCCACACCGUAAACGAUGAAUGCCAGUCGUCGGAUAGUAUACUAUUCGGUGACACACCUAACGGAUUAAGCAUUCCGCCUGGGGAGUACGGUCGCAAGAUUAAAACUCA